This 489-nucleotide ribosomal RNA is filed under the name Arthrobacter tumbae. RNAcentral describes it as "bacterial SSU rRNA". It matches the Rfam family "Bacterial small subunit ribosomal RNA", at positions 380 to 879 of the family's 1533-position model. Lineage: Bacteria; Bacillati; Actinomycetota; Actinomycetes; Micrococcales; Micrococcaceae. The record is from RNAcentral.
AGCCUGAUGCAGCGACGCCGCGUGAGGGAUGAAGGCCUUCGGGUUGUAAACCUCUUUCAGUAGGGAAGAAGCGAAAGUGACGGUACCUGCAGAAGAAGCGCCGGCUAACUACGUGCCAGCAGCCGCGGUAAUACGUAGGGCGCAAGCGUUAUCCGGAAUUAUUGGGCGUAAAGAGCUCGUAGGCGGUUUGUCGCGUCUGCCGUGAAAGUCCGGGGCUUAACCCCGGAUCUGCGGUGGGUACGGGCAGACUUGAGUGAUGUAGGGGAGACUGGAAUUCCUGGUGUAGCGGUGAAAUGCGCAGAUAUCAGGAGGAACACCGAUGGCGAAGGCAGGUCUCUGGGCAUUAACUGACGCUGAGGAGCGAAAGCAUGGGGAGCGAACAGGAUUAGAUACCCUGGUAGUCCAUGCCGUAAACGUUGGGCACUAGGUGUGGGGGACAUUCCACGUUUUCCGCGCCGUAGCUAACGCAUUAAGUGCCCCGCCUGGGGA